GGCCAGAUAGCUCAGUUGGUUAGAGCAUCUUGGGAUUUCACCAGAAGGUUCCUGGGUUCAAUCCAGUCUGGACA
Molecule: transfer RNA, 74 nt
Filed under: Rhodocollybia butyracea
Lineage: Eukaryota; Fungi; Basidiomycota; Agaricomycetes; Agaricales; Omphalotaceae
Description: tRNA-Glu
Source: RNAcentral